CCUACGGGAGGCAGCAGUGGGGGAUAUUGCACAAUGGGGGGAACCCUGAUGCAGCGACGCCGCGUGGGUGAAGAAGCGCCUCGGCGCGUAAAGCUCUGUCAGCAGGGAAGAAAAUGACGGUACCUGAAGAAGAAGCCCCGGCUAACUACGUGCCAGCAGCCGCGGUAAUACGUAGGGGGCAAGCGUUAUCCGGAUUUACUGGGUGGAAAGGGGGCGCAGACGGGGAUGCAAGCCAGGAGUGAAAGCCCUGGGCCCAACCCCGGGUGUGAACUGGAAACUGCGUGGCUGGAGUGCAGGAGGGGCAGGUGGAAUUCCUGGUGUAGCGGUGAAAUGCGUAGAGAUAAGGAGGAACACCAGUGGCGAAGGCGGCCUGCUGGUCUGCAACUGACGUUGAGGCCCGAAAGCGUGGGGAGCAAACAGGAUUAGAUACCCUAGUAGUC
This 440-nucleotide ribosomal RNA is filed under the name uncultured bacterium. RNAcentral describes it as "partial 16S ribosomal RNA". It matches the Rfam family "Bacterial small subunit ribosomal RNA", at positions 338 to 795 of the family's 1533-position model. The record is from RNAcentral.